GAUGAACGCUGGCGGCGUGCCUAAUACAUGCAAGUCGAGCGAACGGACGAGAAGCUUGCUUCUCUGAUGUUAGCGGCGGACGGGUGAGUAACACGUGGAUAACCUACCUAUAAGACUGGGAUAACUUCGGGAAACCGGAGCUAAUACCGGAUAAUAUUUUGAACCGCAUGGUUCAAAAGUGAAAGACGGUCUUGCUGUCACUUAUAGAUGGAUCCGCGCUGCAUUAGCUAGUUGGUAAGGUAACGGCUUACCAAGGCAACGAUGCAUAGCCGACCUGUGAGGGUGAUCGGCCACACUGGAACUGAGACACGGUCCAGACUCCUAGGGGAGGCAGCAGUAGGGAAUCGUCCGCGAUGGGCGAAAGCCUGACGGAGCAACGCCGCGUGAAUGAUGAGGGUCUUCGGAUCGUAAAACUCUGUUAUUAGGGAAGAACAUAUGUGUAAGUAACUGUGCACAUCUUGACGGUACCUAAUCAGAAAGCCACGGCUAACUACGUG
RNAcentral lists this ribosomal RNA (497 nucleotides) under uncultured bacterium. RNAcentral describes it as "partial 16S ribosomal RNA". It matches the Rfam family "Bacterial small subunit ribosomal RNA", at positions 28 to 507 of the family's 1533-position model. The record is from RNAcentral.